This 468-nucleotide ribosomal RNA is filed under the name uncultured bacterium. Its description in RNAcentral is "partial 16S ribosomal RNA". It matches the Rfam family "Bacterial small subunit ribosomal RNA", at positions 28 to 507 of the family's 1533-position model. The record is from RNAcentral.
GACGAACGCUGGCGGCGUGCUUAACACAUGCAAGUCGAACGGAAAGGCCCUGCUUUUGUGGGGUGCUCGAGUGGCGAACGGGUGAGUAACACGUGAGUAACCUGCCCUUGACUUUGGGAUAACUUCAGGAAACUGGGGCUAAUACCGGAUAGGAGCUCCUGCUGCAUGGUGGGGGUUGGAAAGUUUCGGCGGUUGGGGAUGGACUCGCGGCUUAUCAGCUUGUUGGUGGGGUAGUGGCUUACCAAGGCUUUGACGGGUAGCCGGCCUGAGAGGGUGACCGGCCACAUUGGGACUGAGAUACGGCCCAGACUCCUACGGGAGGCGGCAGUGGGGAAUAUUGCACAAUGGGCGGAAGCCUGAUGCAGCAACGCCGCGUGCGGGAUGACGGCCUUCGGGUUGUAAACCGCUUUCGCCUGUGACGAAGCGUGAGUGACGGUAAUGGGUAAAGAAGCACCGGCUAACUACGUG